This 245-nucleotide unclassified non-coding RNA is filed under the name uncultured fungus. RNAcentral's name for it is "partial contains 5.8S ribosomal RNA, internal transcribed spacer 2, and large subunit ribosomal RNA". The stretch from base 1 to 52 matches the Rfam family "5.8S ribosomal RNA", at positions 103 to 154 of the family's 154-position model. The record is from RNAcentral. Lineage: Eukaryota; Fungi.
AACGCACCUUGCGCCCUCUGGUAUUCCGGAGGGCAUGCCUGUUUGAGUGUCAUGAACACCUCACCCCCUCGGGUUUCCGACUGGGUGGAUUUGGGUGCUGCCAGUUACAUGGCUCGCCUUAAAUGUAUUAGCGGUUGUUGACGUAAUAAGUUUCGUCUUGUCGACCGCUCCUAAUCUCCUUCGGGAUGUCUUCGGACACUUCAUGAUCUGACCUCAAAUCAGGUAGGACUACCCGCUGAACUUAA